AGAGUUUGAUCAUGGCUCAGAUUGAACGCUGGCGGCAUGCCUAACACAUGCAAGUCGAACGGCAGCGCGGGGGCAACCCUGGCGGCGAGUGGCGGACGGGUGAGGAAUACAUCGGAAUCUACCUUCUGGUGGGGGAUAACCAGCCGAAAGGCUGGCUAAUACCGCAUAAGACCGAGAGGUGAAAGCGGGGGACCGAAAGGCCUCGCGCGAGAAGAUGAGCCGAUGUCGGAUUAGCUAGUUGGCGGGGUAAGAGCCCACCAAGGCAACGAUCCGUAGCUGGUCUGAGAGGAUGAUCAGCCACACUGGGACUGAGACACGGCCCAGACUCCUACGGGAGGCAGCAGUGGGGAAUAUUGGACAAUGGGCGCAAGCCUGAUCCAGCAAUGCCGCGUGUGUGAAGAAGGCCUUCGGGUUGUAAAGCACUUUUGCAGGUGACGAGGAAGGACGGUAGCCUGCGAAGAAGUGUCGGCUAACUACGUGCCAGCAGCCGCGGUAAUAC
RNAcentral lists this ribosomal RNA (499 nucleotides) under uncultured bacterium. RNAcentral's name for it is "bacterial SSU rRNA". It matches the Rfam family "Bacterial small subunit ribosomal RNA", at positions 8 to 526 of the family's 1533-position model. The record is from RNAcentral.